CUACUAAAUAGAGUCUGACGCUAUAUCUUAGCUGCUCUCGCCGGAAGCAGCAUAUCGCCUCCACCGUGAGUUUUCCCGGUUAUUCUCUGUUUGAUUUCGCUCAGCAGAUAUGUGCUCGGUUGUGCAUGUACAUAAAUCAUAAUCUCUUUUGAAAGUCUUAACGUUUUUUGGUUUGGAGCUAAUCGAUGGGUUGGUUCUUAGGGUUUUACUAUGUCAAUAGCAAUGAAUUUCCUCUAUGAUAUUGGUGGAAAAACGUUCUUCGCUGCUGUUGUAAGUGAUUAACUGAGAUGUUGACUUGUUUUAAUAAACUUGUUAAUGAUUUGCUUGCUUCGUAAUUUUGAAGUGUCACAUGAGGAAUGAUUUUUAUUUCCAUUAGAAUUUAGGUAAAUGUUUUGUUUUUGCAGGGCUUCUGAAGAAUUGGCAGAAGUCGAAGCAGAACUGGUUGGUUUUACUGUGUCUUCUCUACCGGCAUGCCUGGUAUUAUCUUCAUCAACACCUGAACCACAUAUUCCCUCUUGUUGAAUUUGUCGUUGUCUAGAAUCACUGUGUAAGAUGGAUCCAUUUUCUUUGAUU
RNAcentral lists this long non-coding RNA (573 nucleotides) under Brassica napus (rape). RNAcentral describes it as "long non-coding RNA (BNAP_LNC019147)". The record is from RNAcentral. Lineage: Eukaryota; Viridiplantae; Streptophyta; Magnoliopsida; Brassicales; Brassicaceae.